This is a long non-coding RNA of Tyto alba (common barn owl), 2473 nucleotides long. RefSeq lists it as uncharacterized. Lineage: Eukaryota; Metazoa; Chordata; Aves; Strigiformes; Tytonidae. The transcript has 2 exons. The record is from RefSeq and is a predicted model, not a curated record.
UUGGUGUUCUCCAAACCUCCGACAAGAUGCAGACCGUGAACCUCGGGGUUACCGAGUCAUGGGCAUAGGAAUAAAUCAGCAACACAAAAGAAAAGGCCUUUGCUUCCUCGAAAGGCCGGGGCUGGCCCCAGCACAGCCCCUCGAGCCCCAGAGCUCAGCCCCGGCUGUCAACCCGUCCUCCCUGUCCCGCUCUGCUGCCCUUCGCCGGGGGGAGGCUCUGCCCGUGUGCGGGGCUGUCCCCGGGGUAAAACCAGCUGUGGCCGGGGGGGGCUGAUCCUGCAUCUGCCCCGGGGAGCUGCUUCAAGGGGCAGGAGCCCGGCCAGCCCCAGCGAGGAGAAGGGUGAGAGGGGUCCUUCGCUUGGCCCCCCGGCACCAGGGGGGCUCGGCCCCUUGGCACCCGGGGGAGGGCAGGGCUGGGUGGGCCAACCAGGAGCACAGCCCCUGGGGGCUCCGCGGGACCCCACCAAGCAGCACUGGCCCCCAUGGCUGGGACCCCUGUGCUGCCCCAUCCUCUCCUGGCUGAGAUAAAGCUGGGCCUGCUGCAGGGGCUCUGCAGGCUGAGAUGGGGCCACUGGGCAGAAAUCUGCCCCCAGUGCCCUGGGGAAGAGGCAUUGGCGGAGCGGGGGGAGCCCAGGACCUGCCUCGCCAAGGGAAGCAAAGACACACAAGCCCAUGGAAGACAGAGCCCAUCUUUGUUGAGCAUGAAGUACCUGAAAUAUUUAUUAAGUGGAAAACAUAUGGUGCAAACCAGCACUGUAGAAUUAAAUAUUUCUUACUGUAUUCCUUUGCUCUAGGCUUUUUCCCAUUAAACAUUAACCACCAGCACAUGGAACUUGGCCUCAAGAUUGAGUAGCUGCUUUCAUGAUGGGACAAAUCUGUGGCGUUUGCAUUAUCUCUGCGCUCGCUGCGUGGUGUUGCUGACAAACACAACUGGAAUGAGGCACUUUCAGCUGCCUUGGCCACCCUCUGCGGACUGUGAUGGGCUGCCCAGGACCGAAGGCACGAGGUGUGAAGGGCUCAGCUUGCCUCCUGUGCUCCUCUAACCAUGUGCUGCCGCCAGCACUGCAGCAGCUCUUUGUAGGCUUUCCAAACACAGCCUAAAUCAUAGGAACUAAGCCCAAUGCUGCUUGCGCUGACAUCACCGGCAGCCGUGCUGCUGACAUCAGCAAGACUGGAAAUAAGCCUCAGCUUUUGAAAAAAAAUAUCCCUUUCUUCAUAUUCAGUGUUUCCUCCAUCUUUCAAGUUCAAGCAAAUCCUUCUCAACAAGCCAGGAGGUGUCAGCGAGUGAAAUCGCAUUUCGGUGCGUUUUCCAUCUUCCUUCUCACAUGAGUAAUUCAAAUGACCAUGGCCAUGGGUCAGCAAAGCCUGGGCCAGGGGCUGGGACGGGGGUAGGAGGAGGCAGUGACCAGACCCCAGCAGACACAGCUCCGGGCUCGGGGAGGAGGAGGAAGACUGGAGCCCAGCAAAACUCCAACCUGGAAACUUGAUGCCACUGAAAAAGUUGGAUUUUUGGAGCCCUCAGGUGCACACCAAGAAAAUAGCACAGUACCAAAGCAGAGAGGAGGCCAUUUUCCCACUUGGCUCUAACAGAGACCCUGACACACGUGCAGAAAGCCGGAGGUGACCCUCGCACGGGGGAGCAGCCCCCCCGGUCGGAGCGACGCCGAGACGUGGAGCCCAGCCCUGCACCGAGCCCGGGGGAGCACCCGAGGAGCAGCGAGGACACGAGCAAGGCAAGAGCUGAUUAUUCCCAAGGUCUGCACGAGGGGACACAGCUCCUGCCCACGAGUCACGGGCAGAUCACACACACUCACCAGAAACACCGGUCUGCGCUCCGCUGCCUCCUCAAUCAGCGCCGGAGCCUCUGCUCCCCCAGCGUGUCACACGCACUUUCAUUUAGUGCCUUCCAAUUUUCCAGAGCUCUGUCCCUACCAACGGGCGUGGAGAGGGGAGGGAGAGGAGAAAAAGCUUUGAAAAUUAUGGUAGUGUUGCAAGGUCAACAUUAAGGCCUGCACUUAUGCCCUGGAUGUCCCCUCCUGGGCAUAAGCUGAUGCUACGCAGCCUGCGUGACCACUGGCUCUUUUAACGGAGAAUUUCCUCCUCAGGAGAGAAGCCGCUCGCUGAAACGGGGCGGCCGUUAAACCUUUCUACCCUCAGCACUGCCGCGCUGUGCAGAAAGCGGGAUUGGCCCUUUCCACGUGGGUUUUGGGCACCGUGCUAGCACCAAUGUUCCCUGAUUCCCAGAGCCCGCCGAGCCGCGCGGGAUGCUCCCCGCUCCGCGGAGGCUCAGGGGGCUCCCGAGCGCCGGAGGGCCGACGUGGCUUGUGGGGGGCCGGCGGUGCGGGGGCUGCGCUGCUCAGCGCCGGUAACACUUUCAGAGGAUGGUGUUCAAUGCUCACCCCCCCGUGGCUGCUGGGGUUGGCUGAGCAUGGGGAUCCUUUUUUUUUAAAAAAAAAAAAAAAAAAGAAAAUAA